AGAACUUCUAAGAUGAGGAGUCUGGCUUCCCAGCCGCUGGACCGAGCUCCAGGAGGAAGAGGCUGAGGCUGAGAACAUGCAGCGUGGGCCCCUAACCUCCUGCCAGAAGGUCCACGGCAUGCCAAAUGGUGCCAUGUCCUCACCUGGGAUCCGAACCAGCAAACCCCGGGCUGCCGAAAUGGAGUGUGCGCACUUAACUACUGCACCACCGGGCGGGCCCCUGACUGCCUUUUUUAAAGGAAGAAGAAGAGGAGGCUUCGGAGGCCGUGCUAAUUACCCUGAUGCUCCGUGUUUGGAAGAUCUGUCAUCCAACUGUGCAGAGAGCCAACGCCUGUGGGGCAAAGGAUUUGACAAUGAAGAAGAGUUGGGCUUUGAACCAGAUGCCCAUCAUGUCCUUGAGGCAACUAUGUCUGAUCCACUGUGAAAGAACCUCUGAUUGCCCGUGAGCCUGACCUUGCAGUUGGGUCAUGGGUUGUAAUAAAAAUGUAGAAAUGGCUGUCUAGGGCGGGGAAUUUGUUCAUGGUUUAUUUUCACACAAGAAGGUAAGUUCCAAGAGAACAGGGACUUUGUUACACUCUGUGGUAUCUUUGGUGUCCAGUACCCAACACACAGUAGGUGCUUUGUAAGCAUUUGCUGAUUGAACAACUGGAGGAAAUGACAAUCAUCAAUACAAUUUACUGAAUGCUCUCUGGGUUCCAGACACCUUAUAAACUUUGUUUUAUUUAGUCCUAUGACAAUCUUAAGAGAUAGAUUCUUGUUUGUUUGUUUGCUUUUACUUGUUGAGUGAAGUUAAAUAAGUCAUCCAUUGGUUGUUACUUUCUAGAAAGUGGCAAAACCUGGCUUCAUUCCUUCUACACAUUUAUUGAGUGUCAGACACUAUUCUGGGUAUUUGGGCUACGUCAGUGAACAAAACAGAAAAGAUCCCUCACCUUUGUAAAUUCAAGAGAGAAGGGCAUAGAAUAUAUAAUAAAUAAGUAAAUUAUGUAGUCUGUUAGGUGUUAAGUGUUAUGGCAAAAAAAUAAAUAAAGAUCAAGGUAGAGAAUUAGGAGGGUCAAGGAAGAAGGGUAGGGUGGUGGGCAGUUGUGAUGGUUAGUUUUAUGUGUCACCGUGGCUAGGGUAUAGUAUCCAGUUAUUUAACCAAGUACUAAUCUAGGUAUUGCUGUGAAGGUAUUUUGUAGAUGUGGCUAACAUCUAUAAUCAAUUGACUUUAAGUAAAGGCGAUUACCUUUGGGGAUGUGGGUGGGCCUCAUCCAACAAAUUGAAGGCCUUAAGAGCAAAAAGUGAGGUUUCCAGAAAAGCAGAAAUUGUGCCUCAUGAUUGCAGCCUUAAGUCCGGCCUGAGUUUCCAACCUGCUCACCUGCCCUAUAAAUUUUGGACUCAAGACAGGACAGCAACAUCAACUCCUGCUUGGGCUCCCAGCCUACCAGCCUGCCCUAUGCAUGUUGGGAUGUGCUGGCCCCCAAUUCUUUAAAGAUAAAUCUCUGGAGAACUUUGACAGAUACAGAUUUUGGUACCGAAAGUGGAGUGCUGCUGUAAUAACUGCCUCAAACUGUGGAAGUAAGAGAGAAUUCCUCCUGCCUGAUUGCAUCUGAACUGGGACAUCGCCUUUAGUCCUGCUUUUGCACUUGAACUGAAACAUCGAUUCUUCCUGGGAAAGAAGCCUGCCAGCCUUUGGGUGGGAACGACACCUUUAGCUCUCCUGGUGCUCAGGCCUUUAGACUCAGAGUGGAAUUACACCGUUGGUUCUCUUGGGUUUCCAGGUUGUCAACUCACUCAAUAGACCUAAAUCAAGUUCUCAGUAAAUCUUUAGCAUUUUCGUCAAGGUUAAUCAGGUACGUGAGAAACAGUUUGGGAGAUCUAAGUUCAACACUGGCUCUUUCAUUAACCGGCUGUGUCCCCUUGGGUGUGUUGUUUGUCUGGGCCUCUCUUUGCUGGUCUGUAAAAUGGGCAGUAAGCCGGAACAGGGCUAUUCCAAGUGUGGUCCACAGUCUGCUGCCCAUCGGCGAACUGUUACUGGUCAGUGAUGGGGAAUCUAGAGGAGCAGAAAGCAUGCAUUAGAGACUUCCAUAGCAAUUUACAGGGUCAUUUUAUGUCUUUUGAAUCUAAUAAUAAAAUGUUUGGGUUUGUAUUUCCCUGUCUUUUCAAAAAAAA
Equus caballus (horse) is the source of this 2151-nucleotide long non-coding RNA. The record is from Ensembl. Lineage: Eukaryota; Metazoa; Chordata; Mammalia; Perissodactyla; Equidae.